AAAAAUUGUUUCUUAGCAAUGUAGGAUGGCAACAUAAUCUUAGACUUGAGUUGAAUAUUCAAACUUGGCUAUGCAGUAUUUGAUUACAUUGAUCAUAUGCGAAGCAAUUUCAAAAUGUAUAUAUUACAUAACAAGAAAGCAAAAGAAGUUUAGUAAGAAUUGAAGAGAACAACAAAAGCCAGAGAAGAGAACUGGCAAGUUAACAUGGAAGAAAGAAAAUUGAUUUACAGAAACAAGCAUGGUCUUGGAUUCCUUUUUUUCUUCUUUGGUUUAGGAGGCUGCAAAACAACUUUGAUUGCUGCAUCAAACACCACCUUCACAUUCUGCCAAUAGUCAUAACAAAAUAUGUAAGAUUCAGUUUCAAGCAAGAACAGAAAAGACAUAAGUUAACCAAAUCGUUUGCAAUACAGUUCCAGAUAUACUCAAGCUAUGCAAGUUUUGUUGUUGGUCCUAAAGUACUAGGUAAUUUACAAUUAAGUUAUAUAGCAAAACCCUUUCUUCCUUGAACUUCUCUCUAAGAUCUCUUUAUUCUCAAGACAAGGCAUUUGGAUAUAUAGAAAUAUAUAUAUAAUAGAACCUGCUGAGUUUUUGAACUGCACUCUAUGUAAAAAGCAGCACCAAUCAUCUUCUUUAGUUCCUCCCCCUGAGCAGUUGUCAUUGGUGUGGCGCCAGGAUGAUCAAUCAAAUACUGCUUGUCAUCUCUCAAAUCUGUGGUUCAUUACAUCCCUCCAGUGUCAGAUACAGAGAUGUUAUGUAAAAUUAUGGAAAAUCGAAACUUUCUUCAAAUUACUAGAAUUGAUCUUUACCAAGCUUGGUUCCCACCAGCACAAUUGGCACAGUUGGAGCAUAAUGCCUCAGCUCAGGAAUCCACUGGUGACCCCCCACACCCACAAAAAGAAAAAGAAACAGAAAAAAAAAAUAAAGAAAAUUAUAGAAAGGGGCAAAUUUCAAUACCUUAAAGUUAUAAAUUGUAAAGUAAAAACCUUCUUGGAGAUGUUCUCAUAGCUAGCUUUGCUUAUGAGGGAGAAGGCUAAAAUGAACACAUCUGCACCCCUAUAACUCAGUGGCCUCAAUCUGUUAUAAUCCUCCUGUCCUGCAGUAUCCCAUAAUCCAAGAUUGAUUGUGCUGCCAUCAACAACAACAUUAGCACUGAAGUUGUCAAACACUGUAGGCACAUAAUCAUUGGGGAAGGUGUUACUGGUGUAAGAGAUGAGCAUGCAUGUCUUGCCAACUGCUCCAUCCCCAACAGUGACACACUUGAUGAACCUAGCUGUGCUCAUUUUUUGAAAAUUCUUUGUUCUUUUCUUUACCCUCUUACUUCAUCACUACAGGCUUCUAUUCUGUACCUCUCUGCUUUACUACUCUCAAAGAAUAUUCAAUGAGGACUUGCACAAUAGUGUUGAAGGGAAUUUGUUUUUUUGAGGUGGGUUGGGUUUAAAAUUUG
This 1444-nucleotide unclassified non-coding RNA is filed under the name Hevea brasiliensis (rubber tree). The record is from RNAcentral. Lineage: Eukaryota; Viridiplantae; Streptophyta; Magnoliopsida; Malpighiales; Euphorbiaceae.